UUUUGCUUUUGUUUAGAAGUGAGUGAGAACUUUUUGCUUUUUUGGUUAAAUUAUGCUUUUGAAGAUGGACUAGCGGAGAAGUUGAACCUGGAGCAGAUUCAAGAAGACUUUAACAGACAGGGUCAAGGAGAAACUUGGUUGCCGUGACACGCAACAAAGAGGAGAGGAAAAAAAGCUGAGAGGAUAUGAAUAAGGGAGCAGGAGAGAUGGAUGAGGGGAGUGGGGUGAGUCAGGAGAGACAGAGAUGGAUGGAGUCUGGCUGUACAGGGGCACAGCUACGAAGAGAGACAAUUCACAGAUGCACAAAGGAGAUCUGGGAGAGGCUUUGGAAAAAUGACAAGUCAAGAAGUUGGGGAAGGAGGGAUAAUGAGCAAAGACAGAGAGAAAGGAGUGUGUGUUUGUGUGCGAAAGGGAGACACCAAGGCCAAGAGGGAGCUUUGGGGGAAAAAAAGAGAAGUUUAUUGGAUAGAAUUGGGAGAGGAGAGAAAGAGAUUCACCUAGAGAGAUGCAAAAAUAAUGAGAUUCAGGAAAUGUUAGUGACAGAUAGG
Etheostoma cragini (Arkansas darter) is the source of this 548-nucleotide long non-coding RNA. RefSeq lists it as uncharacterized. The record is from RefSeq and is a predicted model, not a curated record. Lineage: Eukaryota; Metazoa; Chordata; Actinopteri; Perciformes; Percidae. The transcript is spliced from 2 exons.